UACGUAGGGUGCAAGCGUUGCCCGGAUUUAUUGGGCGUAAAGGGCGCGUAGGCGGUCACGCACGUCCGUUGUGAAAUCGCUCGGCUCAACUGGGCGGGGUCAGCGGAUACGGUGUGGCUGGAGCAAGCUAGGGGGCAAUGGAAUUCCCGGUGUAGUGGUGGAAUGCGUAGAUAUCGGGAGGAGCACCAGUGGCGAAGGCGGUUGCCUGGAGCUUUGCUGACGCUGAUGCGCGAAAGCGUGGGGAGCGAUCCGG
This 253-nucleotide ribosomal RNA is filed under the name uncultured bacterium. Its description in RNAcentral is "partial 16S ribosomal RNA". It matches the Rfam family "Bacterial small subunit ribosomal RNA", at positions 524 to 776 of the family's 1533-position model. The record is from RNAcentral.